GACGAACGCUGGCGGCGUGCCUAAUACAUGCAAGUUGAGCGCUGAAGACUGGUACUUGUACCGGUUGGAUGAGCAGCGAACGGGUGAGUAACGCGUGGGUAACCUGCCCUAUAGAGGGGGUAAACUAGAGGAAACUUUAGCUAAUCCCGAAUAAAAUCUAAUAACACAUGUUAUAAGAUUGAAAGUGCCAAUUGUUACCUAUAAGGAUGACCCGGCGUUGUAUUAGCUAGUUGGUGAGGUAAAGGCCCACCAAGGCGAUGAUACAUAGCCGACCUGAGAGGGUGAUCGGCCACACUGGGACUGAGACACGGCCCAGACUCCUACGGGAGGCAGCAGUAGGGAAUCUUCGGCAAUGGACGAAAGUCUGACCGAGCAACGCCGCGUGAGUGAAGAAGGUUUUCGGAUCGUAAAACUCCGUUGUAAGAGAAGAACACCAGUAAGAGUGGAAAGCUUACUGGCUGACGGUAUCUUACCAGAAAGCCACGGCUAACUACGUGCCAGCAGCCGCAGUAA
RNAcentral lists this ribosomal RNA (513 nucleotides) under uncultured bacterium. RNAcentral describes it as "partial 16S ribosomal RNA". It matches the Rfam family "Bacterial small subunit ribosomal RNA", at positions 28 to 523 of the family's 1533-position model. The record is from RNAcentral.